Long non-coding RNA from Gavialis gangeticus (Gharial), 1293 nucleotides. RefSeq lists it as uncharacterized. The record is from RefSeq and is a predicted model, not a curated record. The transcript is spliced from 4 exons. NCBI's taxonomy places the organism in Eukaryota, Metazoa, Chordata, Crocodylia, Gavialidae.
CACAUGUCAAGGGAACCCCUGAGAAGUCCUUAUAGCACAUACCAUAGGAAUGUGGUGAUGCAUGCUACUUUCUUCUCAUCAUCAGGACUACCCCUCUAGGAAUGGUCUCCACCAAGUAGUUUGCUGUUCUUCCAUGCUUCAGCUCCAGGAUCCUAUCUAGCUUGAUGUGUCAUUGAAAACCUUUGAUCAAUGAUAAUCAGACCAGGGCUUGCGACCCAUAAGCAACUCUUCAAUAUAUUACCUGCAGUUCCUUGUAGAAAAGGUAAUGUGAAUUACUCAAUAGCUGGACACACCAAAGCAUUCAGAAAUAUACAUCUCAGCCAUAUCCUGAGGACUAGUUCCCUGUGGAUUUCACUACUGUGGGUUAAGUGCUGUCACCUCUCAGCAGAGUGAGGUAUAAACACAGGUCAGCCUCAAGCAGCAUGUGAUGUUUGUAGUAUGUGUCUAAAGAAGAAACACCAUCUUCCCCUAAAAAGGCCCAAUCCUGCAAGAUGUUGAGCUUCCUCACCUUCCAUUGACAUGAACAGAGGCUGAAAGGCAUAUAUAUCGUCUUGCAGUGGUUGACCUGAAAAAAUGCUUAUGAUCACAGAUCUUCCAAUACGUAACUGUAAUUAUUUGGAAGGGGAAGAAAUGGUGCAAACAGAAGGCAUUGUGUCCUAUGGCCAGCAUCCUUUUUCUAGGCCUGAUAGUAACUACAGGAUAAGCAUUUUUCCAGCAACUACACCAAGGUUAAUUUGUGGAACUGGAGUGAAAGAUGAGAAAUUCAGUCAUCAGUGGGCCCUUUUUCAUUGGAAUAUCCCUGGAAGUGUCCAACAGUGGCUGGGUAUUAAGCAGUGGCAAAACCACUGAGUUCACACCAGUAAGGCUUUACAGGACUGGCACUAGGUAUGGCAAAGACACUUCCAAAGGAGCAGGGCGAUAAAAGUUACUGGCCUUGAUCCUACCAUUGUCCUCAUUUCAGGCAAGAGUACAGUCAUCAGAGGGAAUUUUGCCUGCCUCAGGGCUUGAAGGUCAGCCCCAUUGUGUUUGUACAACAUGCCUAGUUUAAACAUUGACCCACACAUUCUGAAAGCAUUGAACAGAGGUUUCCUGAACAAGAAUCACUGACGUUAAGGGAGUCCCCGAGCAACCCUUUAAGAAAAUACAUGUCAGAGUUGAAGCUCUUGCUUCGUUCUUGACUGUUCCUAGGCAUUGAAGCACAUAUGAUAUGCAACAUCUGGCACUCUUCUAAGCCCCUAACAGCACUCUGAAUAGACACAGUAAGAGAUAAGAGUGAGAGGUUUAUUUAACUGU